Molecule: ribosomal RNA, 253 nt
Filed under: uncultured bacterium
Lineage: Bacteria
Description: partial 16S ribosomal RNA
Rfam family: Bacterial small subunit ribosomal RNA
Source: RNAcentral
UACGGAGGGUGCAAGCGUUAUUCGGAAUUACUGGGCGUAAAGCGUGCGCAGGCGGUUUUGUAAGUCUGUCGUGAAAGCCCCGGGCUCAACCUGGGAAUUGCGAUGGAGACUGCAAGGCUUGAAUCUGGCAGAGGGGGGUAGAAUUCCACGUGUAGCAGUGAAAUGCGUAGAGAUGUGGAGGAACACCGAUGGCGAAGGCAGCCCCCUGGGUCAAGAUUGACGCUCAUGCACGAAAGCGUGGGGAGCAAACAGG